RNAcentral lists this ribosomal RNA (425 nucleotides) under uncultured bacterium. RNAcentral describes it as "partial 16S ribosomal RNA". It matches the Rfam family "Bacterial small subunit ribosomal RNA", at positions 354 to 796 of the family's 1533-position model. The record is from RNAcentral.
GUGGGGAAUCUUAGACAAUGGGGGAAACCCUGAUCUAGCCAUGCCGCGUGAGUGAUGAAGGCCUUAGGGUCGUAAAGCUCUUUCGCUGGGGAAGAUAAUGACUGUACCCAGUAAAGAAACCCCGGCUAACUCCGUGCCAGCAGCCGCGGUAAUACGGAGGGGGUUAGCGUUGUUCGGAAUUACUGGGCGUAAAGCGCGCGUAGGCGGAUUGGAAAGUUGGGGGUGAAAUCCCGGGGCUCAACCCCGGAAUUGCCUUCAAAACUCCCAGUCUUGAGGUCGAGAGAGGUGAGUGGAAUUCCGAGUGUAGAGGUGAAAUUCGUAGAUAUUCGGAGGAACACCAGUGGCGAAGGCGGCUCACUGGCUCGAUACUGACGCUGAGGUGCGAAAGCGUGGGGAGCAAACAGGAUUAGAAACCCCAGUAGUCC